This 445-nucleotide ribosomal RNA is filed under the name uncultured bacterium. Its description in RNAcentral is "bacterial SSU rRNA". It matches the Rfam family "Bacterial small subunit ribosomal RNA", at positions 330 to 792 of the family's 1533-position model. The record is from RNAcentral.
CCCAGACUCCUACGGGAGGCAGCAGUGGGGAAUAUUGCACAAUGGGCGAAAGCCUGAUGCAGCAACGCCGCGUGAGCGAUGAAGGCCUUCGGGUCGUAAAGCUCUGUCCUCAAGGAAGAUAAUGACGGUACUUGAGGAGGAAGCCCCGGCUAACUACGUGCCAGCAGCCGCGGUAAUACGUAGGGGGCUAGCGUUAUCCGGAAUUACUGGGCGUAAAGGGAGCGUAGACGGCAGCGCAAGUCUGAAGUGAAAUGCCAGGGCUUAACCCUGGAACUGCUUUGGAAACUGUGCAGCUAGAGUGCAGGAGGGGCAGGCGGAAUUCCUGGUGUAGCGGUGAAAUGCGUAGAUAUCAGGAGGAACACCGGUGGCGAAGGCGGCCUGCUGGACUGCAACUGACGUUGAGGCCCGAAAGCGUGGGGAGCAAACAGGAUUAGAUACCCCGGUA